This 253-nucleotide ribosomal RNA is filed under the name uncultured bacterium. RNAcentral describes it as "partial 16S ribosomal RNA". It matches the Rfam family "Bacterial small subunit ribosomal RNA", at positions 524 to 776 of the family's 1533-position model. The record is from RNAcentral.
UACGUAGGGGGCAAGCGUUGUCCGGAAUUAUUGGGCGUAAAGAGCGCGUAGGCGGUCCGGUAAGUCGGCUGUGAAAGUCAAGGGCUCAACCCUUGAAAGCCGGCCGAUACUGUCGGACUAGAGUCCGGAAGAGGCGAGUGGAAUUCCCGGUGUAGCGGUGAAAUGCGCAGAUAUCUGGAGGAAUACCGGUGGCGAAGGCGGCAUCCUGGACCGACAUUGACGCUGAACGGCGAAAGCUAGGGGAGCAAACGGG